ACAACUUUCAGCAACGGAUCUCUUGGCUCUCGCAUCGAUGAAGAACGCAGCGAAAUGCGAUAAGUAAUGUGAAUUGCAGAAUUCAGUGAAUCAUCGAAUCUUUGAACGCACCUUGCGCUCCUUGGUAUUCCGAGGAGCAUGCCUGUUUGAGUGUCAUGA
This 159-nucleotide ribosomal RNA is filed under the name Ganoderma lucidum. RNAcentral's name for it is "5.8S ribosomal RNA". It matches the Rfam family "5.8S ribosomal RNA". From Rfam's summary of the family: 5.8S ribosomal RNA (5.8S rRNA) is a component of the large subunit of the eukaryotic ribosome. It is transcribed by RNA polymerase I as part of the 45S precursor that also contains 18S and 28S rRNA. Functionally, it is thought that 5.8S rRNA may be involved in ribosome translocation. RNAcentral also lists the same sequence under 27 other names. Lineage: Eukaryota; Fungi; Basidiomycota; Agaricomycetes; Polyporales; Polyporaceae. The record is from RNAcentral.